This 431-nucleotide ribosomal RNA is filed under the name uncultured bacterium. RNAcentral describes it as "partial 16S ribosomal RNA". It matches the Rfam family "Bacterial small subunit ribosomal RNA", at positions 29 to 507 of the family's 1533-position model. The record is from RNAcentral.
AACGAACGCUGGCGGCAGGCUUAACACACGCAAGUCGAACGCCCCGCAAGGGGAGUGGCAGGCGGGUGAGUAACGCGUGGGAACAUACCCUUUUCUACGGAAUAGCUCUGGGAAACUGGAAUUAAUACCGUAUACGCCCUACGGGGGAAAGAUUUAUCGGGGAAGGAUUGGCCCGCGUUGGAUUAGCUAGUUGGUGGGGUAAAGGCCUACCAAGGCGACGAUCCAUAGCUGGUCUGAGAGGAUGAUCAGCCACAUUGGGACUGAGACACGGCCCAAACUCCUACGGGAGGCAGCAGUGGGGAAUAUUGGACAAUGGGCGCAAGCCUGAUCCAGCCAUGCCGCGUGAGUGAUGAAGGCCUUAGGGUUGUAAAGCUCUUUCACCGAUGAAGAUAAUGACGGUAGUCGGAGAAGAAGCCCCGGCUAACUUCGUG